RNAcentral lists this ribosomal RNA (95 nucleotides) under Caulobacter sp. 32-67-35. The record is from RNAcentral. Lineage: Bacteria; Pseudomonadati; Pseudomonadota; Alphaproteobacteria; Caulobacterales; Caulobacteraceae.
UUCCCCACCCGAUCCCAUUCCGAACUCGGUCGUUAAGUCCCCCUGGGCCAAUGGUACUUCGUCUCAAGGCGCGGGAGAGUAGGUCGCCGCCAGGU